CCUGGCUCAGAUUGAACGCUGGCGGCAUGCCUUACACAUGCAAGUCGAACGGCAGCACGGGAGCUUGCUCCUGGUGGCGAGUGGCGAACGGGUGAGUAAUACAUCGGAACGUACCCAGGAGUGGGGGAUAACGUAGCGAAAGUUACGCUAAUACCGCAUAUUCUGUGAGCAGGAAAGCGGGGGAUCGCAAGACCUCGCGCUCUUGGAGCGGCCGAUGUCGGAUUAGCUAGUUGGUGAGGUAAAAGCUCACCAAGGCGACGAUCCGUAGCAGGUCUGAGAGGAUGAUCUGCCACACUGGGACUGAGACACGGCCCAGACUCCUACGGGAGGCAGCAGUGGGGAAUUUUGGACAAUGGGGGCAACCCUGAUCCAGCCAUGCCGCGUGAGUGAAGAAGGCCUUCGGGUUGUAAAGCUCUUUCGGCGGGGAAGAAAUGGCAACGGCUAAUAUCCGUUGUUGAUGACGGUACCCGCAUAAGAAGCACCGGCUAACUACGUGCCAGCAGCCGCGGUAAUACGUAGGGUGCGAGCGUUAAUCGGAAUUACUGGGCGUAAAGCGUGCGCAGGCGGUUUC
RNAcentral lists this ribosomal RNA (571 nucleotides) under uncultured Azospira sp. Its description in RNAcentral is "bacterial SSU rRNA". It matches the Rfam family "Bacterial small subunit ribosomal RNA", at positions 18 to 582 of the family's 1533-position model. The record is from RNAcentral. Lineage: Bacteria; Pseudomonadati; Pseudomonadota; Betaproteobacteria; Rhodocyclales; Rhodocyclaceae.